This 488-nucleotide ribosomal RNA is filed under the name uncultured bacterium. RNAcentral describes it as "bacterial SSU rRNA". It matches the Rfam family "Bacterial small subunit ribosomal RNA", at positions 30 to 507 of the family's 1533-position model. The record is from RNAcentral.
AUUGAACGCUGGCGGCAUGCCUAACACAUGCAAGUCGAACGGUAACGCGAGGAGCUUGCUCCUUGGCGACGAGUGGCGGACGGGUGAGUAAUACUUGGGAAUCUGCCCAGUAGUGGGGGACAACAUUCGGAAACGGAUGCUAAUACCGCAUACGCACUACGGUGGAAAGUGGGGGAUCUUCGGACCUCACGCUAUUGGAUGAGCCCAAGUCGGAUUAGCUUGUAGGUAGGGUAACGGCCUACCUAGGCGACGAUCCGUAGCUGGUCUGAGAGGACGAUCAGCCACACUGGGACUGAGACACGGCCCAGACUCCUACGGGAGGCAGCAGUGGGGAAUAUUGGACAAUGGGCGCAAGCCUGAUCCAGCAAUGCCGCGUGUGUGAAGAAGGCCUGCGGGUUGUAAAGCACUUUCAGUAGAGAAGAAAAGCCUAGGGUUAAUACCCCUGAGUCUUGACGUAACCUACAGAAGAAGCACCGGCUAACUCCGUG